UUGAACGCUGGCGGCAGGCCUAACACAUGCAAGUCGAGCGGAUGAAGGGAGCUUGCUCCUGGAUUCAGCGGCGGACGGGUGAGUAAUGCCUAGGAAUCUGCCUGGUAGUGGGGGAUAACGUCCGGAAACGGGCGCUAAUACCGCAUACGUCCUGAGGGAGAAAGUGGGGGAUCUUCGGACCUCACGCUAUCAGAUGAGCCUAGGUCGGAUUAGCUAGUUGGUGGGGUAAAGGCCUACCAAGGCGACGAUCCGUAACUGGUCUGAGAGGAUGAUCAGUCACACUGGAACUGAGACACGGUCCAGACUCCUACGGGAGGCAGCAGUGGGGAAUAUUGGACAAUGGGCGAAAGCCUGAUCCAGCCAUGCCGCGUGUGUGAAGAAGGUCUUCGGAUUGUAAAGCACUUUAAGUUGGGAGGAAGGGCAGUAAGUUAAUACCUUGCUGUUUUGACGUUACCAACAGAAUAAGCACCGGCUAACUUCGUGCCAGCAGCCGCGGUAAUACGAAGGGUGCAAGCGUUAAUCGGAAUUACUGGGCGUAAAGCGCGCGUAGGUGGUUCAGCAAGUUGGAUGUGAAAUCCCCGGGCUCAACCUGGGAACUGCAUCCAAAACUACUGAGCUAGAGUACGGUAGAGGGUGGUGGAAUUUCCUGUGUAGCGGUGAAAUGCGUAGAUAUAGGAAGGAACACCAGUGGCGAAGGCGACCACCUGGACUGAUACUGACACUGAGGUGCGAAAGCGUGGGGGGCAAACAGGAUUAGAUACCCUGGUAGUCCACGCCGUAAACGAUGUNACUAGCCGUUGGGAUCCUUGAGAUCUUAGUGGCGCAGCUAACGCGAUAAGUCGACCGCCUGGGGAGUACGGCCGCAAGGUUAAAACUCAAAUGAAUUGACGGGGGCCCGCACAAGCGGUGGAGCAUGUGGUUUAAUUCGAAGCAACGCGAAGAACCUUACCUGGCCUUGACAUGCUGAGAACUUUCCAGAGAUGGAUUGGUGCCUUCGGGAACUCAGACACAGGUGCUGCAUGGCUGUCGUCAGCUCGUGUCGUGAGAUGUUGGGUUAAGUCCCGUAACGAGCGCAACCCUUGUCCUUAGUUACCAGCACCUCGGGUGGGCACUCUAAGGAGACUGCCGGUGACAAACCGGAGGAAGGUGGGGAUGACGUCAAGUCAUCAUGGCCCUUACGGCCAGGGCUACACACGUGCUACAAUGGUCGGUACAAAGGGUUGCCAAGCCGCGAGGUGGAGCUAAUCCCAUAAAACCGAUCGUAGUCCGGAUCGCAGUCUGCAACUCGACUGCGUGAAGUCGGAAUCGCUAGUAAUCGUGAAUCAGAAUGUCACGGUGAAUACGUUCCCGGGCCUUGUACACACCGCCCGUCACACCAUGGGAGUGGGUUGCUCCAGAAGUAGCUAGUCUAACCGCAAGGGGGACGGUUACCACGGAGUGAUUCAUGACUGGGGUGAAGUCGUAACAAGGU
RNAcentral lists this ribosomal RNA (1471 nucleotides) under uncultured bacterium. Its description in RNAcentral is "partial 16S ribosomal RNA". It matches the Rfam family "Bacterial small subunit ribosomal RNA". The record is from RNAcentral.